UACAGAGGGUGCAAACGUUGUUCGGAAUUACUGGGCGUAAAGCGCGUGUAGGCGGCUAUGUAAGUCGGGCGUGAAAUCCCUCGGCCCAACCGAGGAACUGCGCCCGAGACUGCUUCUCUUGAGUCCCGGAGAGGAAGAUGGAAUUCCCGGUGUAGCGGUGAAAUGUGUAGAGAUCGGGAGGAACACCGGUGGCGAAGGCGGUCUUCUGGACGGUGACUGACGCUGAGGCGCGAAAGCGUGGGGAGCAAACGGG
This 253-nucleotide ribosomal RNA is filed under the name uncultured bacterium. Its description in RNAcentral is "partial 16S ribosomal RNA". It matches the Rfam family "Bacterial small subunit ribosomal RNA", at positions 524 to 776 of the family's 1533-position model. The record is from RNAcentral.